RNAcentral lists this ribosomal RNA (440 nucleotides) under uncultured bacterium. RNAcentral describes it as "partial 16S ribosomal RNA". It matches the Rfam family "Bacterial small subunit ribosomal RNA", at positions 338 to 795 of the family's 1533-position model. The record is from RNAcentral.
CCUACGGGCGGCAGCAGUGGGGGAUAUUGCACAAUGGGGGAAACCCUGAUGCAGCGACGCCGCGUGUGGGAAGACGGUCUUCUGGAUUGUAAACCACUGUCCCCAGGGACGAAAAUGACGGUACCUGGGGAGGAAGCUCCGGCUAACUACGUGCCAGCAGCCGCGGUAAUACGUAGGGAGCAAGCGUUGUCCGGAAUUACUGGGUGUAAAGGGAGCGUAGGCGGGGAUGCAAGUUGGGUGUCAAAACUACCGGCUCAACCGAUAGUCGCACUCAAAACUGCAACUCUUGAGUGAAGUAGAGGCAGGCGGAAUUGCUAGUGUAGCGGUGAAAUGCGUAGAUAUUAGGAGGAACACCAGUGGCGAAGGCGGCCUGCUGGGCUUUUACUGACGCUGAGGCUCGAAAGUGUGGGGAGCAAACAGGAUUAGAUACCCUUGUAGUC